AUUACUAUAUAUUUUAUAUGCAAUAUCCCUCUCACACACACACAUUCACUGGUCAGUUUGUAACAGUUAAUACAUUAAAGACCAUUUUUUGCCUCACUCACUUGUUCUUUCCUUCUUCUAGCCCUUUCAUGCAAAUCGCAUCACUGCAUGUGUAAUCAAAUAAAUCAAAGUAUAUAAGCACAUGUAAACAAGCAAAAAGUUUUGGAGGGGAUGUUUCUGCCCCUCCAUUUCAUUCUUACCUAAAUACAGAUAUAUACACAUACAUUCUUACUUAUAUCUGCAUACAUAUAUAAAAUUCCCCCUUUACACACAUACUCAUUGAUGUUUAUAUAUAUACACAAACCACAUGCACAUACAUAUAUAUAUAAACCUUCACUCUCCCUCGACACACACGUACUCAUAUCAGCAUAUAUGUAUAAUCUAAAAUCUAUUUUCACACAUGCGCACACAUCUGCUUAUGCAUACAUUUUUAGGUAUCUUCAAUCAAUAUCAGAAGAUCUGCCAGACGAUGCCGUUUUCGAGCUCAAUUACAAAUUGUUCGAUGAGGUCCAUUGCUUUAUUAAAGAGAAAAAAGCAUCCAACAGAAACGGAAUGGACGCGGCUGGUUCCAGCAAACACAAAAGCCUGUAGUUUAAUGUUUAUGUAACCAUUCGUUUCAGUUUGAAUGUUAUUUUUGUUCAAGUUAUUAUUUCAUUGUCAUUUAUUUUUAAAAUGAAUGGUUUGCGCUUUGUGUGUGUGGGGGUAGAUACAGGGAUGUAAACCUCACCUGGACAUUUCAACCUCCAAAACCCAUCCGUUCAUUGAAUAUUCGUUACCAACAUACGCUACUUGCACCUGCGAUCAAUGAGGGCUGCUAAAAGUGUAUAUACAUCACGCCAACAGUGUAUAUAUGUCAUGUUAACAGUGUACUAUGUCCCGCUGGUAUAUUUAGAACUAAACCACAAGCUAUUUGAUCAAGUACAUCAUUUUGUUACACAAUAAAAAGCGUCCAACAGAAACUGUAGUUUUGACAAUCAGAGUUAUUAUAGUUACUGAUAAAAGAGAAGCGAAGGGAGCCACAGCCAGGUGGGGGGCCAGGUGUGAUUCUGCACACCCACUCAUCGAGACCCAACUCCCACUCCUCAAGACAGAUCUACCUCUUAAAGAGACCCAACUACAUCUCUUCAAGACUCUCUUCACCUCCUCAACUCACCUCCCCUGUUCAACGUAAAGCCAGCAGCUAAGGGACACUUCUUUGUCCGUUUUUAUUAUUUGCAGCAAAACACAGAAGAGUGAAUAGAGCUAAACCCUGGGAGGAGUGAUUCUGCUCCACAAAGCAGAGGGUAUCUGCGCUCCAUUACUGAUGGUCUAUCGGAGGAAGAGUCUCUCCAGUUGAAUUAUACAUUGAACUCCGAGGUGCGUCGAUUUCUCAACGAGAGGAAAGCGCCUCAUUAGAGACGGCCAGCAGAAAAGGUAAACCAUCAUAAAGAAAAAGACACGCUAUCAAGGUGUCUUGGAAGAGAGUAGCCCUGUACAUACAAUAAAGAACCUUUUUAGAACUUAUAUAUACUCUAAAGUAAAUAUACUAUUUAUUUAUUAAUUCCAACCAUGUCGAUUUAAUUUAAUGUAGUUAAUUUAAUGUACCCCCACACACAUAUGCAUGGCUAGACACAUUAAUUAAGACUUUUUAAAUUAUUUGCAGAGAAAUAAAGAAGAGGAUCUGCCUGGACCAAGCAAAGGGAAAACCGACAAGAAAUGUAUGUAAAAGUUAAACAUCAGAUCUGUAGAAAAUAGUUCUGGAUAUUAUUUUCACUUUGGACCAAUGAUACCCUAUGAAUGACAUUAUAGAUUUCAAAAUGACCUUAGAGGAAAAAAAUUCUUAAAUGUUUAAGAUCUAAUGUUUUCUAAUUUUUGAAAUGACUUUUUUCUCUCUUUUUUCAAAAUAGGUAAAGGAAAGAAAAGGAGAUUAGAAGAGGUAAGUCCGUUAUGUUUCUUCUGAUUUUAUUUACCUGAUAUAGUAGGUUGAAAUAUACACAUGCAUAAUGUCUUCUUUUUUAAAAAAAAAAAGCUUGGCUUCUGGUCAGUUUGAAGUACAAGCAGAAUGUAGCAAUUUUUUUUUAGGAUCAGGUUAAGUUAAUUUAAUGUACCCCCACACACAUAUGGAUGCCUAGACACGUUAAUUAAGACUUUAAAAAAUUAUUUGCAGGCCGCCGAUAGCGACGACAGCAGGAGCAGCACACCCACACCUCAAAGAGAGAAUCAGGGUACGUACAAUACGGAACGUUUAUUUAACUUAUAUAUAUAUACUCUAAAGGAAAUAUAAUAUUUAUUUAUUAAUUCCAUGUCCAAAGUCAAUGCAGAAUACCACGCUCAUCAGAGAAGGAUUAGAGCACAAGUUAACAAAUACAUGAAAGGCUUCUCAAAAUCUAGAUCUGAGAAUCUCCUCUCAGAACUCUUUCUGUAGGAUUGGUUUCAGUUGCCAUUAGAUUAUUUGUAUUUAGUGUGAUCGAUACCAACACAACCAGGUACGGAGUGUCAGAAGUCUUUUUGCGUGGUUUUUUUUUCAGCGAAAGGUGGCUCUCGCCACAGAAGAAAACUUAAAGCUAUCGAAAACUUAUGUGGCCUUAUCCAGUCCGCAGCGGAGGGACUAUACCUAGAGCAAGUACUUCCGCUAGGCAUAACGACGAAGUUUUCAAGAAUUUGCCACUGGUGGAGAGGUAAACCAUCAUACAGCCAGUAACUAAGGCUCUAAGGUCAUAGAUGAACAAGUUUUGUAAAUGGUUGAAACAUGCAGAAAAUAAAAACAGCAUGCCUGAGAUGAAAUUUAAAACCAGGACAUUCAUUUAUCUUUAUUCUCAUACAUGGAAAUAUUUAGUUACAACACAUUUGGUCCCCAGAAGAAUAAGUAGUCUUUCUUCUUUUGGAAAUUGUAAAUUCAGUUAUAUGAGAACAUUGAGAUGAUGAAAUUCUCAUACCAACGGUCUACCAUUUUCCAGACUCCAGCGCAAGAGAUGGCGCACAACGAGGAAACACGAAAUUACCUGUGACUUCUGCUUGCUGUCAUCCAGUUUUUGUGUGUUUAAUUUCUUUUUUAACUUUUGCGUUAAAGACUCGAAUAAAUCAUAAACUGAAGCGUUAUCGAAGUUACGAGCUGUGCAACAGCUAUUUGGUUUUCUCCAAACUAUAUCUGAAGGAUUAUCGUUGGAAGACUUCUUAAAACUUAGUCUCAUUCUCCAUACAGAAACUAAUAAAUUUCUCAUUGCCGAAAAGGUAAACCAUCAUAAAGAAAAAGACACGCUAUCAAAGUGUCUCGGAAGAGAGGAGGAGCCGAGUACAUACAAUGCAGAACGUUUUUAUAACUUAUAUAUACUCUAAAGUAAAUAUACUAUUUAUUUAUUAAUUCCAACCAUGUCCAAAUUCAAUGCAGAAUACCACGGAUGAAAGAGCAUGAAUGACAAAAGAGAGUUUUUUACAACUUGACAGUAUAACAUUUUUUUGUGUUUUGUUUUGUUUUGCUUGCAUAUGUAUAAGAUAAAUUGUGAUGAUUAUGAAGGGAGGCAAAACCAGGGGAGAGUGAUUCUGCCCCACCAAGGAGAGGGAGGAGGUUGAAUGAAAAAAAUGGGGAAACAAAAGAUUUUCUCAUUAAAGGUGAGCUUUACAGCAAAGCUUACAGAGGACAUUAUUAGAGAUCUCCUUUUUGGAAGUACAUGAUAUGUGAGUCAAUGUUAUUAUUUGCAGAAAAAUCUAGAAAAGCGAAGGGAGCCACAGCCAGCUGGGGAGUGAUUCUGCACUUGAUUUAAAAAAAAAAACGGAUGGAAAAGCGUGAAUGACGAAAGAGAUUGAGUGACAAAAGUUCUCAGAAUGCGUUUAUGGAUGAUGUAAAUUAUUUGCUGUUGACCUAUUUUGUCUUCUUUCUUCACUGAUCGAUACCAAGGCAAUAAGGUACGGAGUGUAGGAAGUCUUUUUGCAUCUUUUUUUUUUCAGCCUAUAGAAACACAAAGCGGGGUAGAUGGUCGCUCAAAAAAGCCAGAACAAGCGAGUACCUAUUUUGGUACAUGCAAUCUAUUACGGAGGGGCUUCCAGAAGAGGCAGGACUUGAAAUCAAUUACAAAUUGCACACUGAGUAUUACCAGUUUUUGGAAGAGAGAAAAGCAUCUCAUUAGAUACAGAAUGGGCAUAGCUGGUUCCUACCAGCAAAAAAGGUAAACCAUCAUAAAGCCAUUAACUAAGGCUCUGACAUGAAAGAUGCAGUAACUAAGGUAAACCAUCAUAAAGCCAGUAACUAAGGCUCUAACGUCAUAGAGGAACCAGUUUUGUAAAUAGUUGAAACAUGCAGAAAAUGAAAACAGCAUGCCUGAGACGAAAUUUAAAACCAGGACAUCUAUUUAUCUUUAUUCACGAUCAACUCUAAACUGUUGCACCACUAGACUGACCUCAGCGCGAGAAAGAUAUGAGUGCAGCUAGGGAAUGCAUGUUUGAACGGUCAGCAAUGGAGGAGUGGGGUUUUAUUAUUUUCUUACAAAGUUCAAAUUGUGCAUAAUCAUUUGCAAAGAUUAUGGUUGCCUGCGGUUGUUACAUGGUCUCCAAAAAAAGGAGAGGGGCAAUGGAAGAAAGGAGGAGCCCUGUACUUACAAUACAGAACAUUUAUUUAACUUAUAUAUACCCUAAAGUAAAUAUACUAUUUAUUUAUUAAUUCCAACCAUGUCCAAAUUCAAUGCAGAUUAGAUACCUUCGAUCGAUUACCGAAGAUCUACCAGAAGAAGUGUGUUAUUUACGUAGGUGGAUGACUGUUUAGUCAAGCAAAUUGUUACUUCAUAUAUGGAUUAUUUAGGUAAAUGAAUGACAGCAAAGUCACAAUGUAUUGAACCUGUGACUUUCAUUUUUUUUUUUUUCAGCCUCUAGUUUAAUGUUUAUGUAACCAUUCGUUUCAGUUUCAAUGUUAUUUUUGUUCAAGUUGUUCUCAUUUCAUUGUCAUUUAUUUUUAAAAUGAAUGGUUUGCGUUUUGUGUGUGUGUGUGUUUUGGGGGUGUGUAGAUACUGGGAUUUAAUGCAUAUGUGGUCCUUUGGCUGCCUUAAAAAUACUUUAAUGUUUUAGACCUAAUGUUUUAUAAUUUUAAAGUGACUUUUUUCUCUUUUUUUCAAAAUAGUGAUGGAAGGGAAAAGGAAAAGAAGAAGACAAGAAGUAAGUUCCUCAUGUUUCUUCUGAUUUUAUUUACCCAUUCCUGACGGCUGUUUACUUUGCAUGCUUGGGAGUAGUGUUAGCUCAGGAAAGGCAUUUUAUGUUGCUUUUGCUUGCUUUUUGACAGUUUUAUUUUGUUAGCCUUAUUUUCUACUGUAUUUAUCUUCCAUAAAUCAUUGGUGUUUUAUAUGGGUAUUCUUAUACUAGUAGGUUGAAAUAUGCACAUGUAUAAUGUCUUUCUUUUUUUUU
This 5406-nucleotide long non-coding RNA is filed under the name Pomacea canaliculata. Its description in RNAcentral is "uncharacterized LOC112560376". The record is from RNAcentral. Lineage: Eukaryota; Metazoa; Mollusca; Gastropoda; Architaenioglossa; Ampullariidae.